GACGAACGCUGGCGGCGUGCUUAACACAUGCAAGUCGAACGGAAAGGCCCUGCUUUUGUGGGGUGCUCGAGUGGCGAACGGGUGAGUAACACGUGAGUAACCUGCCCUUGACUUUGGGAUAACUUCAGGAAACUGGGGCUAAUACCGGAUAGGAGCUCCUGCUGCAUGGUGGGGGUUGGAAAGUUUCGGCGGUUGGUGAUGGACUCGCGGCUUAUCAGCUUGUUGGUGGGGUAGUGGCUUACCAAGGCUUUGACGGGUAGCCGGCCUGAGAGGGUGACCGGCCACAUUGGGACUGAGAUACGGCCCAGACUCCUACGGGAGGCAGCAGUGGGGAAUAUUGCACAAUGGGCGGACGCCUGAUGCAGCAACGCCGCGUGCGGGAUGACGGCCUUCGGGUUGUAAACCGCUUUCGCCUGUGACGAAGCGUGAGUGACGGUAAUGGGUAAAGAAGCACCGGCUAACUACGUG
This 468-nucleotide ribosomal RNA is filed under the name uncultured bacterium. Its description in RNAcentral is "partial 16S ribosomal RNA". It matches the Rfam family "Bacterial small subunit ribosomal RNA", at positions 28 to 507 of the family's 1533-position model. The record is from RNAcentral.